ACAAGCGGUGGAGCAUGUGGUUAAUUCGAAGCAACGCGAAGAACCUUACCAGGUCUUGACAUCCCGAUGCUAUUUCUAGAGAUAGAAGUUACUUCGGUACAUCGGUGACAGGUGGUGCAUGGUUGUCGUCAGCUCGUGUCGUGAGAUGUUGGGUUAAGUCCCGCAACGAGCGCAACCCCUAUUGUUAGUUGCCAUCAUUCAGUUGGGCACUCUAGCGAGACUGCCGGUAAUAAACCGGAGGAAGUGGGGAUGACGUCAAAUCAUCAUGCCCCUUAUGACCUGGGCUACACACGUGCUACAAUGGUUGGUACAACGAGUUGCGAGUCGGUGACGGCGAGCUAAUCUCUUAAAGCCAAUCUCAGUUCGGAUUGUAGGCUGCAACUCGCCUACAUGAAGUCGGAAUCGCUAGUAAUCGCGGAUCAGCACGCCGCGGUGAAUACGUUCCCGGGCCUU
This 453-nucleotide ribosomal RNA is filed under the name uncultured Streptococcus sp. RNAcentral describes it as "bacterial SSU rRNA". It matches the Rfam family "Bacterial small subunit ribosomal RNA", at positions 925 to 1382 of the family's 1533-position model. The record is from RNAcentral. Lineage: Bacteria; Bacillati; Bacillota; Bacilli; Lactobacillales; Streptococcaceae.